RNAcentral lists this transfer RNA (64 nucleotides) under Madachauliodes sp. RNAcentral describes it as "tRNA-Asn". The record is from RNAcentral. Lineage: Eukaryota; Metazoa; Arthropoda; Insecta; Megaloptera; Corydalidae.
UUAAUUGAAACCAAAAAGAGGUAUAUUACUGUUAAUAAUAAAAUUGAGCUUAACUCCAAUUAAA